UACGUAGGGGGCAAGCGUUGUCCGGAAUCAUUGGGCGUAAAGAGCGCGUAGGCGGCCCGGUAAGUCCGCUGUGAAAGUCAAGGGCUUAACCCUUGAAUGCCGGUGGAAACUGCCGGGCUAGAGUCCGGAAGAGGCGAGUGGAAUUCCUGGUGUAGCGGUGAAAUGCGCAGAUAUCAGGAGGAACACCAAUGGCGAAGGCAGCUCGCUGGGACGGUACUGACGCUGAGACGCGAAAGCGUGGGGAGCGAACAGG
Molecule: ribosomal RNA, 253 nt
Filed under: uncultured bacterium
Lineage: Bacteria
Description: partial 16S ribosomal RNA
Rfam family: Bacterial small subunit ribosomal RNA
Source: RNAcentral